CGCCGCCGCCGAUCUCCUCUUCCAUCUGGGCCGCUGCUACUCUUGCAGCCGUUGGUUCCACUCAUUCGCAGACCCUGUCCCUCCCGAUCCCUCACCUCUUAUGACCGAGGGUGAAUCAUUGGUGUGCUGCCAGCUUGAGCGAGAUGCCGCCGAUGCGCAAGGAAGAUGCGAAGGGGCAGCACUACACUCGCAACCCUAUUGAGGUGGUGGCGGCGGACGCCCCUUCAUGAAGACGUCCUUGAAGGUAAUGGGCAGGCGAGGACAACGGCGCCGUGAAGAACUCCUGCGUCCUGAUUCCAGUUCGGUGUCCCGGCUAACGAUGCAUUUGAGUAUUUGACAGCCGGCCGCAGGGAGAAGUCAAGGCUAAGCAACCAAGCAGUAGGAUUAUCCCUCCGGAUCUAUCGAUUUUUGCGGUCGUUGUGUUCGCGUUGUGUUCGUUGGCCGGUGACCGAUUCAGUUUCGCAUAUGGGGAUUCUAAUGUGGAUAUUUGAUUUUCAGUUCAAGUAAUUGGGUUCCUGGUUUUAUUGCCAUUUAUAUCUGUGCAUACAUCCAAUUUCUAAGCAGCAGUGGUACACAGUCAAGUCAACCAGAAGGCUUCGAUUUUCUGCCCGUCGGCAUUAGUCUGUAGUGUACUCAUGUGCCUGUUUUCUCCCUGCCUGUCUCCUCUAUGGCUUUCUGAAUCCUGCUGGCAUGUAGAUGACUUAUUUGGCAUUCUGGAAGAUGUCUCUUGAUUCAUGCAAGUUUUUUUGAUCAAGCUUACCUGUUAAAUUUUCAGAUGGCUCUUGAUUCAUUUCAGAUUUCACACAUGCUCUAGCUACUCAUUAGUCCAAGCUAAUUGGUGUUUCAUAUAUGGAUCCAUGUUGAAUGUGGCGUAUAAAUGAAACCAAACAAGGGGCUCAAAACUAUAUUCUAUUUGUUACAACAUUUUUCAAUGUCUAAUAUAUUCAUCAACUUAUGCAAAUUUAGUUCUAUGUUUCAAAAUAUUGCAGAAACUCGAGAUGAUUAUGAGCACGCACGCACACCUUGCCGCUGGUUGGUGUGGAUUCGUGAUGCAGGAGCCUCGUCUUCACAGAGGCGGCAGGUGGGAGAAAGAUUGACAAAGUGGUGGUCUCCGGUGGCUGGGAGGAUCACGGUGAGCACCCUCCCCCUCCUCCAAUUUUUUGUAUGUGCCACAAAUUUCUCAUGGAUGGCUGUGAGAUUGUUAAUUAUGCUUACUUUUGGGUUCACAUGAAUAUUACUCACGGAGAAACUUUGUUCCUUCAGUUGAUCACCUGGCUGAACAAAAUAACAUGUGAAGAUACUAUUUUAUUAAUGUACAUACAACAUAUGUUAGUUUCUCUAAAGAAAAUAACAUGUGAAGAUAUUUUUUUAUUAAUGUAUAGCAUAUGUCAACUUUGAUGAUUUGUGCCUAUCAAGUGUUAAGAUUUUAUUCAUUUUUCUUUUAUGGAAGGAAGCUAUUUUCUACACUGUAGCAAUAUAUUCCAGGGUUCUUUUAUUAUUGUAGAUCAUAUAUAUGUCGACUUUGCUGAUUUGUUCCUAUCAAGUGUUAAGAUUUUAUUCCUUUUCCUUUAGGAAAGGACGUUAUUUUCUGUACUGUUACUCAUACAAAAGGGACUUUGCUGAUUUGUGCCUAUCAACUAUCCCUAUGCUUUGAAUUUAUGGAAUCAAUAUGGACACAUAAUGUUGAGAAGUAGAAGCGUCAAGAUUUACAGUUUUGAAUAUUCUUAGUAGUUGUAUAUAUAGUUGUAUAUUUUGCAAAAAAUACAUGUAGUUUGUAUACUUUCAUCUGUCUAUCAACACUAGCUAGAGCAGGUGAUGACUUUAGAUAGGAACUGGUCUCCUUGUGCUUCAACAGUAAGUUUUUGUCUACUGCAUUCUAUUUUAUGCUGCUGCAAGUUUUUCAGAGCUGCUGAUAUAUGUCAGUGCAUGACAUGAUAAGGCUUUUCUUAGUAAUUCAAGCUCUUUAGUGCUUAGAGAGGUCGUUCGAGGCUGAUCGUGUGUCGCCUUCAGAGUUCUCUGUGUUUUCGCUAAAACUUCUAGCAUAUAAGAACACAUCUAUGAUAAGGCUUUGGUGAUCUAUCUUACAGGUGACAUUUGCUAUAUGUUUAAUUGUAUAUUUAAAUAACUUCCUUGAAUGCUACCAGAAAAAUAGACGUGCAUGGCAAUGUACGGGUGCUGGGGCGUCGACAUACUAAUAGAGCACAUUUUUUUUGCAAAAUGUGAUUUCUGGGGAAAAUACCACCUAUUUUUUGUUUAGUUAUACUACCUUAAUGAUUGAUGAUGAUGAUAAUAAUAAAUAUCUUUCUACAUAUAUGGUAUGGGGCUAAUAAUGUUUAAAUUUUGUAUCAGAAGAAAAAUAGCCCUGGUUGGACUCCACUAACAUAUUCCUACAAAAGAAAAAUACUAAUUAAGUUACAUGUUAUAUCAUAAUUCAUACUAAUUUGGUUAGAGUAAAAUACCUCUAAUAUAAUUCCAUCUAUUAAUAAUAUUAUAGUGCCAAAGUAGACGGGCGUAGCAACGCGCGCCUUCAAUGAUCUAGUAAUGUGUAAUAAUAGCCCAUAAUGCAAUAAAUAUCAAUACAAAAACAUGAUGCAAAAUGGACGUAUUAGCAGCCUUUGAGAAUAUAGCUGAGUUCUUGAAGAAGCGAAAAGAGCAAUCAGAUGCUUUUUUCACCCAAGCCAAAGAAGAGAUGAAAGAAGCCAGAAAGAAGCUAGCAGAGGUAAAGCAGGCUUGGCAUCACCUGCUAUCUAAAACUGUUGUCAAUGCAAAUUUUCAUUCAUAAUAGCUAGGUUCAAAUAUUUAUCCAGUCAACAUGCCUGUUGUGAUGUUCGUGCAUCUACGGAGAUGUAUGUAAGUCUGUGAUGCCGAGAUGUGGCACAAAAUAUUUUUUUUGGGUCAUGUAAUAACAGCCAUUACUUACCAAACAAUAACUGACGAACCAUUGGACAUGAUAUAGUUCACACGCAAGCCCAACAUUCCAAGUUCAA
Aegilops tauschii subsp. strangulata is the source of this 2987-nucleotide long non-coding RNA. RefSeq lists it as uncharacterized. NCBI's taxonomy places the organism in Eukaryota, Viridiplantae, Streptophyta, Magnoliopsida, Poales, Poaceae. The record is from RefSeq and is a predicted model, not a curated record.